AUACGUAGGGGGCGAGCGUUGUCCGGAAUGAUUGGGCGUAAAGGGCGCGUAGGCGGCGCGGUAAGUCUGGAGUGAAAGUCCUGCUUUCAAGGUGGGAAUUGCUUUGGAUACUGCCGCGCUUGAGUGCAGGAGAGGUUAUCGGAAUUCCCGGUGUAGCGGUGAAAUGCGUAGAGAUCGGGAGGAACACCAGUGGCGAAGGCGGGUAACUGGACUGCAACUGACGCUGAGGCGCGAAAGUGUGGGGAGCAAACAGGAUUAGACACCCUGGUAGUCCACACUGUAAACGAUGAAUGCUAGGUGUAAGAGGUAUCGACCCCUUUUGUGCCGGAGUCAACACAAUAAGCAUUCCGCCUGGGGAGUACGGCCGCAAGGUUGAAACUUAAAGGAAUUGACGGGG
This 397-nucleotide ribosomal RNA is filed under the name uncultured bacterium. RNAcentral's name for it is "partial 16S ribosomal RNA". It matches the Rfam family "Bacterial small subunit ribosomal RNA", at positions 523 to 918 of the family's 1533-position model. The record is from RNAcentral.